This 162-nucleotide ribosomal RNA is filed under the name Androsace stenophylla. RNAcentral describes it as "5.8S ribosomal RNA". It matches the Rfam family "5.8S ribosomal RNA". From Rfam's summary of the family: 5.8S ribosomal RNA (5.8S rRNA) is a component of the large subunit of the eukaryotic ribosome. It is transcribed by RNA polymerase I as part of the 45S precursor that also contains 18S and 28S rRNA. Functionally, it is thought that 5.8S rRNA may be involved in ribosome translocation. The record is from RNAcentral. Lineage: Eukaryota; Viridiplantae; Streptophyta; Magnoliopsida; Ericales; Primulaceae.
AAACGACUCUCGGCAACGGAUAUCUAGGCUCUCGCAUCGAUGAAGAACGUAGCAAAAUGCGAUACUUGGUGUGAAUUGCAGAAUCCCGUGAACCAUCGAGUUUUUGAACGCAAGUUGCGCCCAAAGCCAUUAGGCCGAGGGCACGCCUGCCUGGGCGUCUCA